This 94-nucleotide transfer RNA is filed under the name Streptomyces olivochromogenes. RNAcentral's name for it is "tRNA-Ala". Lineage: Bacteria; Bacillati; Actinomycetota; Actinomycetes; Kitasatosporales; Streptomycetaceae. The record is from RNAcentral.
GGGUCGUCCUGGUGCACGAGGGCGAGGUCGUGGCGGUCGGCGUCCACCGCGAGCUGGUGCGCGGUGAGCCGCGGUACCGGGCCGUGGUGACCCG